UUUCCCAUGCGGUUAACGCAAUAAGACCCCUUGAAGACUACAAGGUUGAUAGGUCGUAGGUGUAAGCAUGGCAACAUGUUUAGCUGAACGAUACUAAUUGGUCGAAGGCUUGUCCUC
Molecule: ribosomal RNA, 117 nt
Filed under: Clostridiales bacterium
Lineage: Bacteria; Bacillati; Bacillota; Clostridia; Eubacteriales
Description: partial 23S ribosomal RNA
Rfam family: Bacterial large subunit ribosomal RNA
Source: RNAcentral